Long non-coding RNA from Micropterus salmoides (largemouth bass), 662 nucleotides. RefSeq lists it as uncharacterized. The record is from RefSeq and is a predicted model, not a curated record. The transcript is spliced from 3 exons. Lineage: Eukaryota; Metazoa; Chordata; Actinopteri; Centrarchiformes; Centrarchidae.
GAUUGUAGCUUCCACAGAUGAAAUCUUGCUGGAGAAAACAAAAACACAGUUGAAAGACUACAGAAUGAACAGAAGAUUGUUCCUCUACUACCCGAGUCUUCAGCACCAGACCGUGAGAAUAGCCAUCUUCAGCCUUCAUCUGCAGUCUCGUUGCACAAAACCACAGGUACAGGAUGUCUGUCUCUGACCUGUCGAGAGAACAGACUGUGCUUUUGUUGGGACCUUGGCAAUCACAAAACAUCCAGAGGAUCCAUUGCACAAUGAUGCAGAAUUGAGCAGACUACAGGACAGCCAAUGAACUAUAACCACAUCACAUUCAAUCUAUAAUGGUCUGACAUAGAAGAUAACAAUAAGGCUACACAUAGCCAUAACUAACUCCACUUGUUAAUUGUGGUCAAAAAGGUUGUUUUUUUGUACUUUGAUAUGUCAAAAAUCUUUGUAUAUAAUAUGUUUAGAGGGGUUUUUUUGUUCUGGUUGUGGCUCAGUGGCUAUAUCCACUGUUCUGGAUUCACUGCUGUUUACCUAAGCAGGAGCAGGUGCUUGCAGAAGAAUCCCCCAGGAUUUCAUCUUCAUGUGAAGCAUGCUUACCAUUCACAUAUUUGAUACCCUGUUCACUAUCAGUGUGUAGAGGAGAAAUAGAGAAAGAUGGAUUUCUGAUAUCC